GACGAACGCUGGCGGCGUGCUUAACACAUGCAAGUCGAACGAAGAGCGACGGAAGCUUGCUUCUAUCAAUCUUAGUGGCGAACGGGUGAGUAACGCGUAAUCAACCUGCCCUUCAGAGGGGGACAACAGUUGGAAACGACUGCUAAUACCGCAUACGAUCUAAUCUCGGCAUCGAGGAUGGAUGAAAGGUGGCCUCUACAUGUAAGCUAUCACUGAAGGAGGGGAUUGCGUCUGAUUAGCUAGUUGGAGGGGUAACGGCCCACCAAGGCGAUGAUCAGUAGCCGGUCUGAGAGGAUGAACGGCCACAUUGGGACUGAGACACGGCCCAGACUCCUACGGGAGGCAGCAGUGGGGAAUCUUCCGCAAUGGACGAAAGUCUGACGGAGCAACGCCGCGUGAGUGAUGACGGCCUUCGGG
Molecule: ribosomal RNA, 417 nt
Filed under: uncultured bacterium
Lineage: Bacteria
Description: bacterial SSU rRNA
Rfam family: Bacterial small subunit ribosomal RNA
Source: RNAcentral